This 247-nucleotide unclassified non-coding RNA is filed under the name fungal sp. RNAcentral describes it as "partial internal transcribed spacer region". The stretch from base 1 to 46 matches the Rfam family "Eukaryotic small subunit ribosomal RNA", at positions 1786 to 1831 of the family's 1831-position model. Lineage: Eukaryota; Fungi. The record is from RNAcentral.
AAGUCGUAACAAGGUCUCCGUUGGUGAACCAGCGGAGGGAUCAUUACAGAGUUGCAAAACUCCCAACCAUUGUGAACCUACCACACCGUUGCUUCGGCGGGUGGCCCGGGGCAACCCAGGCUGCGCCGGCCCCCCUCUUCGGGGGGCCCGGCAAGCCCGUCAGAGGACUGAAACCCUGGAAUUACUGGCCUCUCUGAGUAACUUAUACAAUAAGUCAAAACUUUCAACAACGGAUCUCUUGGUUCUG